Molecule: ribosomal RNA, 373 nt
Filed under: Klebsiella sp. 118R
Lineage: Bacteria; Pseudomonadati; Pseudomonadota; Gammaproteobacteria; Enterobacterales; Enterobacteriaceae
Description: bacterial SSU rRNA
Rfam family: Bacterial small subunit ribosomal RNA
Source: RNAcentral
CUUACCUGGUCUUGACAUCCACAGAACUUACCAGAGAUGGAUUGGUGCCUUCGGGAACUGUGAGACAGGUGCUGCAUGGCUGUCGUCAGCUCGUGUUGUGAAAUGUUGGGUUAAGUCCCGCAACGAGCGCAACCCUUAUCCUUUGUUGCCAGCGGUUAGGCCGGGAACUCAAAGGAGACUGCCAGUGAUAAACUGGAGGAAGGUGGGGAUGACGUCAAGUCAUCAUGGCCCUUACGACCAGGGCUACACACGUGCUACAAUGGCAUAUACAAAGAGAAGCGACCUCGCGAGAGCAAGCGGACCUCAUAAAGUUUGUCGUAGUCCGGAUUGGAGUCUGCAACUCGACUCCAUGAAGUCGGAAUCGCUAGUAAUC